This 487-nucleotide ribosomal RNA is filed under the name uncultured bacterium. RNAcentral's name for it is "bacterial SSU rRNA". It matches the Rfam family "Bacterial small subunit ribosomal RNA", at positions 28 to 509 of the family's 1533-position model. The record is from RNAcentral.
GACUAACGCUGGCGGCGUGCCUAAUACAUGCAAGUCGAACGGGAUUCUUUGAUCAGCUUGCUGAGAGAAGGAUCUAGUGGCGGACGGGUGAGUAACGCGUGGGAAUCUGCCUCUUACUGGGGGAUAACAGUGGGAAACUACUGCUAAUACCGCAUAAGAUCUUCGGAUGAAAGGUGCAACUGCACCGGUAAGAGAUGAGCCCGCGUCCCAUUAGCUAGUUGGUGAGGUAAAGGCUCACCAAGGCGACGAUGGGUAGCCGGCCUGAGAGGGUGAACGGCCACACUGGGACUGAGACACGGCCCAGACUCCUACGGGAGGCAGCAGUAGGGAAUCUUCCGCAAUGGGCGCAAGCCUGACGGAGCGACGCCGCGUGAGUGAUGAAGGCCUUCAGGUCGUAAAGCUCUGUUCUUGAGGACGAAUAAGCCAGGGAGUGGAAAGCCCUGGUGAUGACUGUACUCAAGGAGAAAGCUCCGGCUAACUACGUGCC